GAUGAAGAAACGCAGCGAAAUGCGAUAAGUAAUGUGAAUUGCAGAAUUCAGUGAAUCAUCGAAUCUUUGAACGCACAUUGCGCCCGCCAGUAUUCUGGCGGGCAUGCCUGUUCGAGCGUCAUUUCAACCAUCAAGCCCCAGGCUUGUGUUGGGGACCUGCGGCUGCCGCAGGCCCUGAAAACCAGUGGCGGGCUCGCUGUCACACCGGGCGUAGUAGAUUUUAUCUCGCUCAGGGCGUGCUGCGGGUUCCGGCCGUUAAAAAGCCUUUUUUACCCAAGGUUGACCUCGGAUCAGGUAGGAAGACCCGCUGAACUUAAGCAUAUCAAUAAGCGGAGGA
This 337-nucleotide unclassified non-coding RNA is filed under the name soil metagenome. Its description in RNAcentral is "partial contains 5.8S ribosomal RNA, internal transcribed spacer 2, and large subunit ribosomal RNA". The stretch from base 1 to 121 matches the Rfam family "5.8S ribosomal RNA", at positions 35 to 154 of the family's 154-position model. The record is from RNAcentral.